This 179-nucleotide non-coding RNA is filed under the name Ferroacidibacillus organovorans. Lineage: Bacteria; Bacillati; Bacillota; Bacilli; Caryophanales; Alicyclobacillaceae. The record is from RNAcentral.
CUUUAAAAGUAACAACUAGGUGCCCAUCAGGGAUAACAGGGAAUCGGGUGCAAAUCCCGAACGGUCCCGCCACUGUAACUGAGUAGUGUUAUUUCAUCACGUCACUCGACUUUGUCGGGGAAGGCGAAAUAAACACGAUGAUCAGGAGUCAGGAGACCUACCUAGUUUGUUCGCCAAUU